UGGGGAAUAUUGCACAAUGGGGGAAACCCUGAUGCAGCGACGCCGCGUGAGCGAAGAAGGCUUUCGAGUCGUAAAGCUCUGUCCUAUGAGAAGAUAAUGACGGUACCUCAAGAAAAAGCCCCGGCUAACUACGUGCCAGCAGCCGCGGUAAUACGUAGGGGGCUAGCGUUGUCCGGAAUCACUGGGCGUAAAGGGUUCGCAGGCGGAAUAACAAGUCAGAUGUGAAAGGCAUGGGCUCAACCCAUGUAAGCAUUUGAAACUGUAAUUCUUGAGAAGUGGAGAGGUAAGUGGAAUUCCUAGUGUAGCGGUGAAAUGCGUAGAUAUUAGGAGGAAUACCUGUGGCGAAGGCGACUUACUGGACACAAAUCUGACGCUGAGGAACGAAAGCGUGGGUAGCAAACAGG
This 404-nucleotide ribosomal RNA is filed under the name Verrucomicrobiota bacterium. RNAcentral describes it as "Verrucomicrobia bacterium partial 16S ribosomal RNA". It matches the Rfam family "Bacterial small subunit ribosomal RNA", at positions 355 to 776 of the family's 1533-position model. Lineage: Bacteria; Pseudomonadati; Verrucomicrobiota. The record is from RNAcentral.